GACGAACGCUGGCGGCGUGCUUAACACAUGCCAGUCGAACGGAAAGGCCCUGCUUUUGUGGGGUGCUCGAGUGGCGAACGGGUGAGUAACACGUGAGUAACCUGCCCUUGACUUUGGGAUAACUUCAGGAAACUGGGGCUAAUACCGGAUAGGAGCUCCUGCUGCAUGGUGGGGGUUGGAAAGUUUCGGCGGUUGGGGAUGGACUCGCGGCUUAUCAGCUUGUUGGUGGGGUAGUGGCUUACCAAGGCUUUGACGGGUAGCCGGCCUGAGAGGGUGACCGGCCACAUUGGGACUGAGAUACGGCCCAGACUGCUACGGGAGGCAGCAGUGGGGAAUAUUGCACAAUUGGCGGAAGCCUGAUGCAGCAACGCCGCGUGCGGGAUGACGGCCUUCGGGUUGUAAACCGCUUUCGCCUGUGACGAAGCGUGAGUGACGGUAAUGGGUAAAGAAGCACCGGCUAACUACGUG
This 468-nucleotide ribosomal RNA is filed under the name uncultured bacterium. RNAcentral describes it as "partial 16S ribosomal RNA". It matches the Rfam family "Bacterial small subunit ribosomal RNA", at positions 28 to 507 of the family's 1533-position model. The record is from RNAcentral.